GAGGGUCUAGCUCAGGGGCUGAGUGUGUGCCUAGCACGCAUGAGGUCCUGGGUUCAACCCCCAGUACCUCCA
Molecule: transfer RNA, 72 nt
Filed under: Camelus ferus (Wild Bactrian camel)
Lineage: Eukaryota; Metazoa; Chordata; Mammalia; Artiodactyla; Camelidae
Rfam family: tRNA
About the family: Transfer RNA (tRNA) molecules are approximately 80 nucleotides in length. Their secondary structure includes four short double-helical elements and three loops (D, anti-codon, and T loops). Further hydrogen bonds mediate the characteristic L-shaped molecular structure. tRNAs have two regions of fundamental functional importance: the anti-codon, which is responsible for specific mRNA codon recognition, and the 3' end, to which the tRNAs corresponding amino acid is attached (by aminoacyl-tRNA synthetases). tRNAs cope with the degeneracy of the genetic code in two manners: having more than one tRNA (with a specific anti-codon) for a particular amino acid; and 'wobble' base-pairing, i.e. permitting non-standard base-pairing at the 3rd anti-codon position.
Source: Rfam by way of RNAcentral